Long non-coding RNA from Homo sapiens (human), 1510 nucleotides. Lineage: Eukaryota; Metazoa; Chordata; Mammalia; Primates; Hominidae. The record is from Ensembl.
CAGUUCAGAUCAUGCCCUGUGCAUAUCCAGUUCCCCCGGUAGGCACGGCUCCUCCUUUCACCUCAAUGCCCCGCUUUCCGCUCGGCCCACACUGGACUCUUGCUACCUCUUGUUUUGGCUUAUGUUUAAUCUUACUUUUUUAAAGCAACAUCUUCUGAUUAUGAAAUAAUUUAUACUUUUUUUUUGCAGAGAAUGUGGAAAAUACAGAAAAGUAUAAGCAGAAGCAUAAAAAUUAUUCACAGUUGCACCCUUGGAGGGAGCUGUCCUAUAAAUCUUGAUGGACUUUCAUCAAAUUCAAAGAAAAAAAAAAGAUUCCACUGGGAUUUAAUUCAGAUUGCAUUUCACCGAAAAAUUACAAGGAUUAACAACAAGGAUUAAUAGCAUUGCUGCAUUCAUUAUGGCAACCCAAGGUUAUGUCUCUCUAUUGACUAUUCUCUUUAAUUAAUCUGUGUAAAAAGUUUGCAUUUUUAAUAUAGGUCUUGGAUAUUUCUUAUUAGUGUUCUUUAUAUUUUUUUCCAAUACUCUUAAGAAUGCAUUUUUCUCCCUAUAUUUUCUGCUUGUUGUUAGAAUAGAAACAGUAUUUAUUUUGGAGAUUUUUGUAUUUUUAUCUUGUAUCUGACCCCUUCCCUAAUUUUUAUGAAUACUAAGAAUUUUACAGUCAGUACUUUUAUAUUAUCUUGGUGCAUAAUCAUAAUGUAGUCUGUAAGUAACAAACAUUUUGUUUCCUUCUUUCUAUUGUAGAGUUUGAGAAGUCGUCAGUGUGUAGUCCUGUUACCUUAAUUGUUUCUGAGUUAUGGGUUGAAUUUAUUUUGAAAUUUCAAAAAACUUCAAAGGGUAGUAUGUUAUUUUUGUGUUAAUCAAAAUGAACAAUGGGUUUCAAAAGCUUGAACAACGUCAUCUUGGGAGUGCCAAAUGAAUAGGAUGUCCUGUAUGUCAGGAGCAUGCCCACACUUUUCUUGCUAGGGUGAGUUUAUUGUCCCUGAUGAAUCCCAGGAGUACUAGUCCAUGAUGCUCUUAUUCCCUGGUGCUUUAACAUGCAGUGCAGCCGGAGUUGGCCUGAACUUUAGGAAAUGAGGUCGUAAGUCGAAAGAACAGGGAAUUGAGAAAGCACACAGAAGCAGCCAGGGCCAACAUUUUCCCCUAAACAAGCCAAUCAACAAAAAGCAAUGCCAAACAAGCCCCUUUGAAACUUUCAAAGUCCUCAUCCUAGUACCUUCCUAGCACUCUAGGAGACAUCUUUCAGCUGUUGAUUUAUGAACGCUGAGAGGCACGUGGAGGAAUUAAUGGAGGUAAAUAUCUAACUUAAAAAAUCUUCAGUAGGCAUUUUUAGACAAUCCUCCUUGAAAGAAAAGUGUGGAUGCUCUGUGCGUGUAUUGACUGCACCUGCAGGGGUAUAGCUGGAGAACACCCAGUGAGCAUCUUCAGGAGCCAAGUCACGCAGGGGCUUAGCUCUCAGUCCAUUGCGACAGUUGCCAUGAUGCCUUCUGACCAUUAAACACUUUGAACUCUU